CAGCCGCCGCGGUAAUACCGGCGGCCCGAGUGGUGGCCGCUAUUAUUGGGCCUAAAGCGUCCGUAGCCGGGCCCGUAAGUCCCUGGCGAAAUCCCACGGCUCAACCGUGGGGCUUGCUGGGGAUACUGCGGGCCUAGGGACCGGGAGAGGCCGAGGGUAUUCCCGGAGUAGGGGUGAAAUCCUAUAAUCCCGGGAGGACCACCUGUGGCGAAGGCGCUCGGCUGGAACGGGUCCGACGGUGAGGGACGAAGGCCAGGGGAGCAAACCGGAUUAGAUACCCGGGUAGUCCUGGCUGUAAACGAUGCGGACUUUGUGUCGGACAAGCUAUGAGCUUGUCCGGUGCCGGAGGGAAACCGUUAAGUCCGCCGCCUGGGGAGUACGGCCGCAAGGCUGAAACUUAAAGGAAUUGGCGGG
RNAcentral lists this ribosomal RNA (414 nucleotides) under uncultured microorganism. Its description in RNAcentral is "bacterial SSU rRNA". It matches the Rfam family "Archaeal small subunit ribosomal RNA", at positions 459 to 872 of the family's 1478-position model. The record is from RNAcentral.